This 253-nucleotide ribosomal RNA is filed under the name uncultured bacterium. RNAcentral describes it as "partial 16S ribosomal RNA". It matches the Rfam family "Bacterial small subunit ribosomal RNA", at positions 524 to 776 of the family's 1533-position model. The record is from RNAcentral.
UACGGGGGGGGCAAGCGUUGUUCGGAAUUACUGGGCGUAAAGGGCUCGUAGGUGGCCAACUCAGUCGGACGUGAAAUCCCUCGGCUUAACCGGGGAACUGCGUCCGAUACUGGAUGGCUUGAGAUCGGGAGAGGGAUGCGGAAUUCCAGGUGUAGCGGUGAAAUGCGUAGAUAUCUGGAGGAACAUCGGUGGCGAAGGCGACAUCCUGGACCGGUAUUGACGCUGAGGCGCGAAAGCCAGGGGAGCAAACGGG